Molecule: ribosomal RNA, 119 nt
Filed under: Xenopus tropicalis (tropical clawed frog)
Lineage: Eukaryota; Metazoa; Chordata; Amphibia; Anura; Pipidae
Source: RNAcentral
GCCUACGGCCAUACCGCCCUGAAAGCGCCCGAUCUCGUCUGAUCUCGGAAGCUAAGCAGGGACGGGCUUGGUUAGUACCUGGAUGGGAGACCGCUUGGGAAUACCAGGUGUUGUAGGCU